Molecule: ribosomal RNA, 379 nt
Filed under: uncultured bacterium
Lineage: Bacteria
Description: bacterial SSU rRNA
Rfam family: Bacterial small subunit ribosomal RNA
Source: RNAcentral
GACGAACGCUGGCGGCGUGCUUAACACAUGCAAGUGGAGCGACGAACCAGGCUUCGGCCUGGGGCAGAGCCGCGAACGGGUGAGUAACACGUGGGUAACCUGCCUCGAUGACCGGGACAACCCGGGGAAACCCGGGCUAAUACCGGAUGUGCUCCUUCACAUCAGUGAAGACAGGAAAGGAAGCUUCGGCCUCCGCAUCGAGAUGGGCCCGCGGCCCAUUAGCUUGUUGGUGAGGUAACGGCUCACCAAGGCUGCGAUGGGUAGCUGGUCUGAGAGGACGAUCAGCCACACUGGGACUGAGACACGGCCCAGACUCCUACGGGAGGCAGCAGUGGGAAUCUUGCGCAAUGCGCGAAAGCGUGACGCAGCAACGCCGCGU